AGAGGCAGACGGUGUACAUCUUUACGAAUAACCACGACGGAGAUAUGAGCAAUACAAAGGGAUGUUUUUUGGGUACCUGGCAAGUUAAAUCCAAACAAAUUGAUGAAAAUAAUAAAAGGUCAUUGAAAAAUUGACUUGUGGCAAUGAGUUAUAGUGUUCAUGUUCUAAGCAAAGGGGGUUUUGGUGUGAAUGUUUCCUAACAAUGAGGUGGAAUAAUACUUGGUAGAAAAGUAUAAAUUUUACUUGCUUUCUUAUGUCUAGCUCAGUUGGAUGGAUAGUUGUGUGCAUGCCAUAUAAGUUUUUGACAGAACAAUAGUUUAAAAGACCCAUAAUUCACAGGUCUGGAUUCCGAUACAUUGAUACCAUAAAAUUGUGAUACUUCUGAGUUUAUUAAAUUUCCCAUUAGGUGAAAGAAGUUGCAUAUCAUCGUCCCUGAGUUUAUUAAAUUUCCCAUUAGGUGAUAGAAGUUGCAUAUCAUUCUUGACCCCC
Molecule: long non-coding RNA, 489 nt
Filed under: Panax ginseng (ginseng)
Lineage: Eukaryota; Viridiplantae; Streptophyta; Magnoliopsida; Apiales; Araliaceae
Description: long non-coding RNA (PGIN_LNC005499)
Source: RNAcentral